Molecule: ribosomal RNA, 445 nt
Filed under: uncultured bacterium
Lineage: Bacteria
Description: partial 16S ribosomal RNA
Rfam family: Bacterial small subunit ribosomal RNA
Source: RNAcentral
CUACCAGACUCCUACGGGAGGCAGCAGUGGGGGAUAUUGCACAAUGGGGGGAACCCUGAUGCAGCGACGCCGCGUGGGUGAAGGAGCGUUUCGGCGCGUAAAGCCCUAUCGGCAGGGAAGAAGGAGGACGGUACCUGACUAAGAAGCCCCGGCUAACUACGUGCCAGCAGCCGCGGUAAUACGUAGGGGGCAAGCGUUAUCCGGAUUUACUGGGUGUAAAGGGAGCGUAGACGGUUCUGCAAGUCUGAAGGGAAAGCCCGUGGCUUAACCGCGGAACGGCUUUGGAAACUGUGGAACUGGAGUGCUGGAGAGGCAAGCGGAAUUCCUAGUGUAGCGGUGAAAUGCGUAGAUAUUAGGAAGAACACCGGUGGCGAAGGCGACUUUCUGGACUGUAACUGACGUUGAGGCACGAAAGUGUGGGGAGCAAACAGGAUUAGAUACCCGA